This 6646-nucleotide long non-coding RNA is filed under the name Monomorium pharaonis (pharaoh ant). Its description in RNAcentral is "uncharacterized LOC118647272". The record is from RNAcentral. Lineage: Eukaryota; Metazoa; Arthropoda; Insecta; Hymenoptera; Formicidae.
AAAACUAAAUUAAAAACUAUACAUAAAUCAAUUCGUAAAAUAUGUGCAUCAAUCAUUCGUUGAAAAUUCGACUUUCGAAUUAAAAACAAGUAUUCGACGAAGUGUUCGAGUCGUACAGAGUACCAUAAUUAUGAUAUUCAAAGCAUUUGUAAUAUUUAUAAUAGUUGCUUAUAAAUAUUAUUCAUCAAUAGUUGUGUAAUCGAGUGAAAUAUCUACACACAGAAAAAUAUCACUCUUCAGCCAAGAAAAGUAUUUACUCAUUUUAUUUUAUUUUGUUCAAGUAAUAGUUUUCUUUAUCAAGAAUAUUUUCUUAAUAUUAGUUUUAAGGUAUACUUGUCACAAGUAUUAGAAAAUCUCAGAAUUGUUUACUUAAAACAAGAAUUUAUUCUUGUUUCAAGAAUAUUGUAAAACUGUAUUCAAGAAAAUCGAAUUUACUUAAUUUAAAUAUAUUAAUUUAAGAAGGUUUUCUUCUUUCAAGUAAGUUUAUUUUCUCAAUUUAAAAAAAUGUUUUUUCUAUUCUUUUCGCUACUCAUCGCUACGUAGUGCUGGUGGCGUGUUUUCUCGUGAACAAAAUGCACUUCUUUAAUAAAAGAGGCUCGCCAAGAGCAUGAAAGGAAGUAAGAUUUCGCCAUCGACAUACAAAUAAUAGAGUAAAAUGUCAGUCUUUAAAAAUAAUCAAGAAAAAUAAGAAAAUCAUAAUUGUGAAAGUAAAUUUCGCUUUUAAUUUAAUUUAACUAAAAAUAUAAUUUCUUCUUCCAAGUAAAUAAUUAUUUCAGAUAAGUAAAAUUUAUAUUUAAUUCAAAUAACAAAUAAACUUUUCUAAAGAAAUUAUGAUAUCUUAAUUCAAAUAUACGCUUUUCUUCGUUGGACUCUAGAUAGUAAGUAAACUGAAUAUUUGUUUGAAGUGAAUAUUUUUGUUUGAAAUAUUACACUUACUAAGAUUGAGAAUAUGUUUUAAGUAAAUGUGAUACUUGCAGCAAGUUUACCGUAGCGGAUAUCAAAAGAAACCUGUUACUUAGAACAAGUAAUAUUUGGAAUUAGUAAUUAUUUUUCUAUGUGUAGGAAUUAAUUAAGUUUUGUUUUGAUCAGUAUAAUUGAGGCCAUUGACACGGUAUGUUCCAAAAAUGACAUUCCUUCACGGCUGCAAUGUGACUAUAUGUUCAAAAUACAGUAAUAAACAUUGGCUGCACAUUAGUAGGAUUGUUCCAUCCGGUUAAUCCAAUUUCGCCUGCUGAUUUCUGGCAAACUUUACUUCGACUCUGUAAUCGUAUCUACCUCACGUUAUGCUGUAAAAAAUGAUUAUACACUGCGUGGUCCUACGGAACAGGAAGGAACAAAGUCAAAAGGCAGGGUGAGGAAUUGCACCAGAUAUAUUAUGAAUAUGGAACUCGGUCGUAAAGCGAUGACGUAAUCGCCAUUAGUUUUAUCCGUAUCGUGCAGCGCGAGACGAAGACGGACUGGCGAAUCGCGAACGUUACGACCAGGUGCAGGCCGGUUCGCGAUCCCAUUAAAUCUUCGGCCGGUUGAACUCGGGGUAAUAGCCCGCGGUCGAGCGACGGAGGCGACGACACGCUCGUCUCUCCGGGUCCGAUCUCGUGGAAACCGUCGCGGUUUGAUCGAUAUAUCUGCGCGAUCCCGUCCGCGAAUUCCCGCGCGGCUCGAGCGGGGAGCCCACGGCUGUACCUGCACGUCGUAAGUCACAACGGGUCAAGACGAGGAGUGUUAUUACCGUAAAGAUCGGUCGGGGGCGAGGAGGGAAACCGGGAUCGAUGCUUAACCCUUAAUUUGGUAUUUGCCCUUGCGAAUGAUCGGUGUUAAGGCACGGUCGGGAACAAUUAUCACGUCGUGGGGCGGGAGCCGCCGCCAAGUCCACCGCGAUUCCUCGGUCCGGGAGAGUGCGAGUCGAGGCAGAAUUAACGCACAUUUAUUAUUACGCAUUAGAGACGAUUAAUCUUUAUAAAUCGGACGUUUUAAUUACCGUGGCGCACGAGGGGGAGAAAAGAUCGCCCGUGAGAUCGUCUUAACGAGGAGAAUCGCGCUUUCGGUAUCCUUACGAUGACUUCGCGCGUAGAUCGAGCAUGCCCGAUACGCGAGGGCGAAGAGCCAUUUCUUUUCUACGAAAAAGCGCGUUCUAUCUUUCGCCACGAUUUAUCCCAUUGUGCUAACGCGUGAGAUAACAGAGUGACGCCCGCUCGCCGUGUACCUCGCGGAAAAUAGAUUGCCGUCGUUUACAGCUGGCGUUCGCAUUGUCCGUAACAACCGUGGUACCGCGGCUGUAGACGUAGAAAGAAAACCAGUCAUUCCGGAAUAUUAACGUCACCUUUUCGACGGUACCGCGGGUCUAAUUACCGAAUGGUAAUUAACUAGGCAGGCCUGGAAGUCAGGGUAAUUAUGAGACGUGCGACCCAGAGGAACGGCGGCGGCGGCGGCGGACUGUUUUCCCCGAUCUCUCGAUCCGCGUCGAUUGGAAAGGAUUAAGCUUCAGCAGGACCCGGGUGAUCAAAGCCUCCCCCCCCCUCCUCCUCCUCUCGCCUUCUCUUUCUCUCUCUGUAUUAUUUCUAUUUCUAUCUCUACCUCUCCGCGGUAGAUCUAAAUCGGCCGUCUAGAUCUAAAACGUCUCGACGCCCAUCGGGCGAAUAUUAUUGCGCAACACGCACUGGGGAUACGCGAAACGACUAAUGACGUGAAGGAAGGUGCCCGCGCAUUCACGAUCGUUACGUAAUCGUGAGUAAUUAGUCCAUUUAUGAGCCGCGCGCACGUAAUAUCGGCCGAUGGGCAACGGACGCGAUGGUCGCAUUAGUUCUCCCGUUAUUAAUGCAUUUCGAUCGCAUUUUUCUGCGCGCGUUUAUUGCGCCGUAGAUUAACGUCGCGUUACCUCCUCUCUCUCUCUCUCCCUCUCGUCUCCCCCUUUCUUCUCCCGAUACGUUACUUAAUCGCGAGAUUAGCCGAUCAUUUGCGGCAUCGCUCUCACGACGCGUGUGCAUCCGUUUCGCAGCGAAGCUCGAAUUCGAAUGAAAUAAAAACAAAAGAGAGAUAUAACAUAAGAAAAACAAUACGCGAGCUUUCAUACUUAAAAAUGCAGUCGCAUUAAAAUUACGUCCUAUAUUUUAUUCUCAUCCCAUUUUAUCAUAUUUUAUAAAAAUACAUCCUACAUGUUAUGUUUUUGUACAUAUAUCUAAUACAGUGAUACAUCCAUUAAUUUCGUGUUUGUCUCAAUGUUUUUUAUAAUGCAAAUGCAUUACAAUUUAUUUUUACAGGAAAAUGGGCAGAGUUAUAGCUUAACUGUCAUAUAAUGACAUUCCGUGUUUUUUAUUAUAUUUUAAAAUACAAAAAUAGGCUAUCUUGUCUUGAAACAAUUCUAUCGGAGUCACGUAAAGCAUAACAUCUAAUGCUUCGCGUCGCAAUGCGGCAUAUAUAUGACACAGACAAGAUUUUAUUUGGCAUAUUAAGCUAUGCGGACAUAGCCUAAUGUUUUAUACGAAUCGCGUUAAUCUUCGUUUCUGUGAAGGAAAAUUGAGCUGUUUAGGCCGUAUUACAUAUAAUAUUCGUCGCACCGUAUUACGACAUCAUUGAACAUGUAAAUAAGCAGCAGCUUAUACAUACAAUACGUAGCGAAUCUGCCGUUAACUAUCGGUUAACGAAGCUGUACGCCUCAAGACAUUUGCAGCACGAGGCAUAUAAUUAUCACAUCACAGCAUGUGAGAAAGUUGCUAGGACGCAUCGUUGAGCGACACGAUGCGUGCUGGUAAUGAGGAGCGAACUAACAGCUCUCUCGACUAGAACGCUAGAAAAAAAAAGAGUGAAGCGUGUCGUUUGUGGAUGCAACGUUCACGUGAUGGCAGUUCGAGGCUGUAAUGAGACACUGAGCAUCUCCUACGCACCUUGAAAUUACAUACGCCUCGAAUAAUUCAUACCGCUUUUAGGCACACAAUUAAAUUUGCUUCUCUUAUUGACAAGAUGCGCGAAUCCUUUAAUGCCAUAAAAGAUGUUUCUCCAAAGUGGUAUAAAAUUAUUCAAAAAAAUAUAAAAAAUUUAUAACUGUAUAUUAUAUUUAUAAGUUAAUUUAUUUGACUUAUUUUAAAGAAAAUCUCAUUUUCCAUUUUUUCUUCCUUUCUCUAAAAUUAAAGUUCAUAGUAUUAUAGAUUUAUUUUGUAUUUAUCUAAAAUUUUUCAAUUAUUAAAUUAUAACAUAAGAUUUAAGAUCAGUCACGUGACACAUUUAACAAUUACCAUAAUACUAUGAUAGAAAUCGUCCCUUCUAAAUUCGUACAGUACGAAACAAAUCAACGAAUCAAGCAUGAAAGUGAGCCAGGCUAAGCAUACCGUGGCUAAGAUUAUGGAAAAUUAUUUGCAGAAAAGAGAGCAAUGAGACGAUUUGCAACGACCAACGAGAACAAUGCGGAGGAGCAUGCUCGUCAGGAAAUCGUUAACCCAGCGAAGGUAAUCGCAGCCUUCGGCAUUGGUGCAUACGUGCAUUGUUAAUAACAGGGUACUCGAGAGGCACUACCAUUCCGUAGAGAGACCCGCAGAGCGGACUGCCUGCGAUCAUCGGCGUAUCCUUCGAUACACGGAACCGAUCGGCCGACGUUGUCCGGCUUACGCCAAGGCUAAUUCGCCUUAAUUAAUACACGAGGUCUCACCAAACCUCCUCCUGUCUAUCAAAGGUCACGCCAGUCGGCUGACACCGAGCCUAUAUUCUGAUAGUUACGCACAGUGAUUCUCAGCUUCGAUCCUUUAGCCCCUUCGAUCAAUCAAAUCUUUUUGUUGUAACACAUUACGAAUUAUUUGUAUAACUACUUUGUGUAAUUUGAUCAUGGUGUCAAUGUUUUAUACACUCGAGAAAAUAAUCUUGCAAUUUCAACAAAAAUGAUAGGUAUGCAAAAAUUAGAUGAAAUAGGUAAAUGAGAGAGAGAGAGAGAGAGAGAGAGAGAGAUUAGCAAAUACUGUGAUAUGUAUACGUAUUGCACUUAAUCAAUCUAACUGACAUACAUUCGGUUGUGACGUCAGGAAAUCUGUAUGUAUCAGCAAAAAAAAUUUUCGGGUGUAAUUCGAAUAAUUAUGACGGGAUAGUUUCUCUUAAAUAGAACGAAAUUAUAGGAAUAAUAAUAGUUUGUUUUGAUACUAGAGCAUUUUAAUUAUAUUUUACGGCUUAACUGUGUGACAAACAGUCGAUACGUAAUUCAUAAAUAAUAUUCUAUCUAGUGAGUGUAAGGAACUGAAUAAAAUAUGUUUAUAUUAAAAUUUAUUAUAUAAAUUGCAGUUUAGAGAAUGCUAGACAGAAUGUUAUUAAUAUCUUUCUGAACGUAGAAUUUGAGCGUGCUGCCCAAGCGUUUCUCACGCUUGCGUUGUUUAUAUAUAAUACAUAUAGUUAAUUGUAAAUAAACUUAAAUUUAUGUCGCUCCCAUUUAAUUACGGCUCGUUAAAAAUUCCACCGAGUCAAUCAAAAUCAUGGCUCGCGGAAAAGUCUGGCGUAGAAUAUAAUGAUGCAUUUAAAAGAAGCGGCAGGGAUUUCUUAACUCACGCGGAAUCAUCCUCAGCCGAGGGAAAUGCGAUAAUUAGAGAUACCCUGUAGAUACACAUGUUGCUAUGCGAUUUCUCACAAGUAGAUAAGGAAUUUUAUGUGUACGCUAAUGGGCGUAGGAAACAUCUCUCACCAUAUAAUCGUGCAAGGGCGAUUUACCGUGCGCUCAUAAUGAGCUAUGAUUCUCUACCUGUAAUGCAACUCUCGUUACACGCAACAGCGUGCGUCAGGCACACUGCUAUUCGUCGAUAUUAAAAGUAAUAUUAGGCUCUUAUUAUUCCGUUACGCCGUCAAUGAGGCGCGUAAUAUGAACAACGUUCAGUUACGACUCUCGCUGAAGCAAUUAAUAUUGCUGAUAGCACUCUGCCCUUCGACCCGUUAUCGAAGAGUCCUAUAUGUCAUAAUUCAACUUAAAUAUAUAAUAUCCCAUUUGUACCAGUGUCUAAUUAUCAACUUAACGUUUCGCAUUGCAAAAGUGGCGAUGAAGAAUAUAUCGUGAUAUAAUGGAACGCAAGGCCGGCCUUAUGUAAUAUCGCGAAAUCAGUAAAUUUAGAGCGCAAAGUCUUUUGAAAUCACGAGUCUUUGAGAACUAGAUCCAUUAUUCCUCGAAUCGGGACAAUUUUACGGUCGCUCCCGCGAGGCUUGAUCGCAACGGCAGUCAUGAUCGCGCGAUUUGCGAACGAGUUAUACCGCGGAAUGGCAGAAAUGACGGUAAUCAAUGAAUUGGCAUUUCCCACAUCCAGACCAACGACGGUAUCUACUUUGGCAUAAAGGAUAUCUCGACGGCCACGCGGCGCUAAAAUGACGGAUAGCCGGCGCGAUUCGCCAACAAGCUCUUUGCACGCCACUCGUUGAAACAAUUAUUAGUCAAACCGAGGUACGACAUACACAGAAUGGGGCUGUAUGUCAAGUAAUGGGCCUUUCGUUUACCGCGCAUCGGAGAUUUCGUAAAACCGUCCACCAUAAUGGCGCCCUAAUGCGCGAAGCAUGUUCCGAUGUCUUCGCGAAGCGAAUUUCUCUCCGUGGAAUCGGAGCAGCGGGAAGAUGGCGCGUAGAAUUUUCACGCGGAAGGAUGAAAGAAAGGACGAUUCCAGCGAACCUCGAAUCAUAUCCUCAAGCACACUUA